Molecule: ribosomal RNA, 253 nt
Filed under: uncultured bacterium
Lineage: Bacteria
Description: partial 16S ribosomal RNA
Rfam family: Bacterial small subunit ribosomal RNA
Source: RNAcentral
UACGUAGGGGGCAAGCGUUGUCCGGAAUUAUUGGGCGUAAAGAGCGUGUAGGCGGCCAGAUAAGUCCGCUGUGAAAUCUCGAGGCUCAACUUCGAGCUGUCGGUGGAAACUAUCUGGCUAGAGUCCGGAAGAGGAGAAUGGAAUUCCUGGUGUAGCGGUGAAAUGCGCAGAUAUCAGGAGGAACACCGGUGGCGAAGGCGGAUCUCUGGGCCAUUACUGACGCUGAGGAGCGAAAGCGUGGGGAGCGAACAGG